AUACGGAGGAUCCGAGCGUUAUCCGGAUUUAUUGGGUUUAAAGGGUGCGCAGGCGGCCAUUUAAGUUAGCGGUUAAAUCGUGGGGCUCAACCCCAUUCUGCCGUUGAUACUGGGUGGCUUGAUUGCGGUCGAGGUUGGCGGAAUUCGUUGUGUAGCGGUGAAAUGCAUAGAUAUGACGAAGAACACCGAUUGCGUAGGCAGCUGACCAGAUCGCAAAUGACGCUCAUGCACGAAAGUGCGGGGAUCGAACAGGAUUAGAUACCCUGGUAGUCCGCACAGUAAACGAUGAAUACUUGUUUUCGGCGAUAUAAUGUCGGAGGCAAAGCGAAAGCGAUAAGUAUUCCACCUGGGGAGUACGCCGGCAACGGUGAAACUCAAAUGAAUUGACGGGG
Molecule: ribosomal RNA, 392 nt
Filed under: uncultured bacterium
Lineage: Bacteria
Description: partial 16S ribosomal RNA
Rfam family: Bacterial small subunit ribosomal RNA
Source: RNAcentral